This 74-nucleotide transfer RNA is filed under the name bacterium. Its description in RNAcentral is "tRNA-Met". It matches the Rfam family "tRNA". Rfam says of the family: Transfer RNA (tRNA) molecules are approximately 80 nucleotides in length. Their secondary structure includes four short double-helical elements and three loops (D, anti-codon, and T loops). The record is from RNAcentral.
UGCGGGGUAGUGAAGUAGUAAAACGUAGGCCUCAUAAGCCUAAAUCCUGGGUGCAAAUCCCAGCCCCGCUACCA